RNAcentral lists this unclassified non-coding RNA (87 nucleotides) under Posoqueria latifolia. RNAcentral's name for it is "partial external transcribed spacer". Lineage: Eukaryota; Viridiplantae; Streptophyta; Magnoliopsida; Gentianales; Rubiaceae. The record is from RNAcentral.
CUACCGAACGACUGUCGUCGUUGCCUCGGGGUGCCGGAUCCUUCGGGUCCGCAGUGCUCGUGCAACGUCGGCGUCUGUGAGGAAUGC